UGGGGAAUUUUGCACAAUGGGGGAAACCCUGAUGCAGCGACGCCGCGUGAUUUAGAAGGCCUUCGGGUUGUAAAAAUCUUUUCUAUGGGAAGAAAAUGACAGUACCAUAGGAAUAAGGACCGGCUAAUUACGUGCCAGCAGCCGCGGUAAUACGUAAGGUCCGAGCGUUGUCCGGAAUCAUUGGGCGUAAAGGGUACGUAGGCGGGUAAGCAAGUUAGAAGUGAAAUCCUAUAGCUCAACUAUAGUAAGCUUUUAAAACUGCUCAUCUUGAGGUAUGGACAGGAAAGUGGAAUUCCUAGUGUAGCGGUGAAAUGCGCAGAUAUUAGGAGGAAUCCCGGUGGCGAAGGCGACUUUCUGGCCAUAACCUGACGCUGAGGUACGAAAGCGUGGGUAGCAAACAGG
RNAcentral lists this ribosomal RNA (402 nucleotides) under bacterium. Its description in RNAcentral is "partial 16S ribosomal RNA". It matches the Rfam family "Bacterial small subunit ribosomal RNA", at positions 355 to 776 of the family's 1533-position model. The record is from RNAcentral.